This 484-nucleotide ribosomal RNA is filed under the name uncultured bacterium. RNAcentral's name for it is "partial 16S ribosomal RNA". It matches the Rfam family "Bacterial small subunit ribosomal RNA", at positions 30 to 507 of the family's 1533-position model. The record is from RNAcentral.
AUUGAACGCUUGCUUCCGGCCUAACACAUGCAAGUCGAGCGGAUGAAGGGAGCUUGCUCCUGGAUUCAGCGGCGGACGGGUGAGUAAUGCCUAGGAAUCUGCCUGGUAGUGGGGGAUAACGUCCGGAAACGGGCGCUAAUACCGCAUACGUCCUGAGGGAGAAAGUGGGGGAUCUUCGGACCUCACGCUAUCAGAUGAGCCUAGGUCGGAUUAGCUAGUUGGUGGGGUAAAGGCCUACCAAGGCGACGAUCCGUAACUGGUCUGAGAGGAUGAUCAGUCACACUGGAACUGAGACACGGUCCAGACUCCUACGGGAGGCAGCAGUGGGGAAUAUUGGACAAUGGGCGAAAGCCUGAUCCAGCCAUGCCGCGUGUGUGAAGAAGGUCUUCGGAUUGUAAAGCACUUUAAGUUGGGAGGAAGGGCAGUAAGUUAAUACCUUGCUGUUUUGACGUUACCAACAGAAUAAGCACCGGCUAACUUCGUG